Molecule: ribosomal RNA, 775 nt
Filed under: uncultured Neocallimastigales
Lineage: Eukaryota; Fungi; Neocallimastigomycota; Neocallimastigomycetes; Neocallimastigales
Description: partial large subunit ribosomal RNA
Rfam family: Eukaryotic large subunit ribosomal RNA
Source: RNAcentral
UAUGUGAUCGUCUCUCGCAUAUCAAUAAGCGGAGGAAAAGAAACUAACAAGGAUUCCCCUAGUAACGGCGAGUGAAGCGGGAAGAGCUCAAAUUUGAAAUCUUAAAGGGUUUCCCUUUACGAAUUGUAGUUUAAAGAAGUGUUUUCUGUUGAGGUUUUGGUAAAAGUUCUUUGGAAUAGGACAUCAUAGAGGGUGAGAAUCCCGUAUUUGACCUUUACUUUCAACUUUGUGAUACACUUUCAAAGAGUCGGAUUGUUUGGGAAUGCAGUCCAAAAUGGGUGGUAAAUUUCAUCUAAAGCUAAAUAUUGGCGAGAGACCGAUAGCGAACAAGUACCGUGAGGGAAAGAUGAAAAGAACUUUGAAAAGAGAGUUAAACAGUACGUGAAAUUGUCAAAAGGGAAGCGUUUGACACCAGUGUUGUUUUUCUGAAAAUCAAUUAAAGAACUGUUUAUGCUAAGCUGUUUAGACUUUAUCAGCUAACUGUUUAGUUUUGAGCUUUUCUUUAAUGCACUUUUCAGUUAACAAGUCAACAUCAAUUUCUUUUGCUGUAAAAAAGCUUGAGGAAGGUGGCUUGAGAUUCGUCUUAAGUGUUUGAUAGCCUCUUGCCUAUGCAGUCGGAGAGAUUGAGGUCUGCAGCGUAGAUCCUUCGGGGCUAAAUGCAUUUGUGCUAAGUUAUAGCAUUUUAUAGACAACUUGUUGACUAUGAUUUGUCUUGUAGCUUACUCGCUUAUGUUAUUUUACCUACGCUUAGGAUGUUGAGUAGCGACAUACGCAC